AACGAACGCUGGCGGCAUGCCUAACACAUGCAAGUCGAACGAGACCUUCGGGUCUAGUGGCGCACGGGUGCGUAACGCGUGGGAAUCUGCCUUUGCUUCGGAAUAACAGUUAGAAAUGACUGCUAAUACCGGAUGAUGUCUUCGGACCAAAGAUUUAUCGGCAAAGGAUGAGCCCGCGUAGGAUUAGGUAGUUGGUGGGUAAAGGCCUACCAAGCCGACGAUCCUUAGCUGGUCUGAGAGGAUGAUCAGCCACACUGGGACUGAGACACGGCCCAGACUCCUACGGGAGGCAGCAGUGGGAAUAUUGGACAAUGGGCGCAAGCCUGAUCCAGCAAUGCCGCGUGAGUGAUGAAGGCCUUCGGGUCGUAAAGCUCUUUUACCAGGGAUGAUAAUGACAGUACCUGGAGAAGUAAGCUCCGGCUAACUCCGUGCCAGCAGCCGCGGU
Molecule: ribosomal RNA, 445 nt
Filed under: uncultured bacterium
Lineage: Bacteria
Description: bacterial SSU rRNA
Rfam family: Bacterial small subunit ribosomal RNA
Source: RNAcentral